CCUACGGGUGGCAGCAGUGGGGAAUAUUGCACAAUGGGGGAAACCCUGAUGCAGCGACGCCGCGUGAGUGAAGAAGUAACUCGUUAUGUAAAGCUCUAUCAGCAGGGAAGAAAAUGACGGUACCUGAGUACGAAGCCCCGGCUAACUACGUGCCAGCAGCCGCGGUAAUACGUAGGGGGCAAGCGUUAUCCGGAUUUACUGGGUGUAAAGGGAGCGUAGACGGCAGUGCAAGUCUGGAGUGAAAGGCGGGGGCUCAACCCCCGGACUGCUCUGGAAAUUGGAAGGCUGGAGUGCAGGAGAGGUAAGUGGAAUGCCUGGUGUAGCGGUGAAAUGCGUAGAUAUUAGGAAGAACACCAGUGGCGAAGGCAGCUUGCUGGACUGUAACUGACGUUGAGGCUCGAAAGCGUGGGGAGCGAACAGGAUUAGAUACCCGAGUAGUC
This 440-nucleotide ribosomal RNA is filed under the name uncultured bacterium. RNAcentral's name for it is "partial 16S ribosomal RNA". It matches the Rfam family "Bacterial small subunit ribosomal RNA", at positions 338 to 795 of the family's 1533-position model. The record is from RNAcentral.